Molecule: long non-coding RNA, 2097 nt
Organism: Papaver somniferum (opium poppy)
Lineage: Eukaryota; Viridiplantae; Streptophyta; Magnoliopsida; Ranunculales; Papaveraceae
Exons: 2
Source: RefSeq, a predicted model, not a curated record
UGUCGGGGAUAAGAGAAUUUUAAUUUUGAAUUCUCACCGAUGUCUGACGCUUCUCCAUCUGUUGCAGAGUUUGCCUGUAAGCUUUGAUGGUAGCUUUUUGUGCCGGCACAUAAUCAUAAUUCCAUUCCACUGCCAAAAUCCAUGUUGUUCCGUUAAGUUCAAUUUGGAUUGUUGCUGGGAUUUCUGUAGCCUGGAAUUUGACUCGCAAUCUACAAUAAGAAGGAUUUUUUCCAGCAGUCUCUUGAUCUACCUCUGCUAAGCCUCCCAUUUGUGCUCCUAUUUUAUCAAAAUUUUCCUUUGACCAUAAUUGUACUCGUAGACCUUUAAUUUUUAUCCAGUUUUGAGCUGAGUACACAGAUCUGGCAUUAAUGGUAACAUCUUCAGAAAUCCAUCUUUGUACUUCCAUUGUUGUGUCUUUAAAGCUCCAUUUGAUGGGUUUCCAGCAGCUAUUCCAUUCCCAAUCAUUGUUAGGUUGAAAUGUUGCCAGAGAAUCAUUAAUAACAUUUAUUUUCAGAUAUCUACCCCAAUUAAGUUUAGUUGCAAUCUCUCUGGCUACUUGAUUCCAUGAAAUAGAUCCAUUAGCUACACAGCUGAAGGUACGCUGAGAUCUAUGAUUCGUCUUUGAUUGAUUGUUGUCCGGAAAGUCUUUCUCUGUAGGAAUAUAUUGAUGGCGUACCUCAGAUUUCCUUAGAAGUUUAUCUAACAGUUCAAGGAAUCUCAACCACCCAUAUUGAUUAUUUCCUUUUGGAAUGAAGAGAGAUUUCUUUGUACUUCUAUUGAUAUUUGUCCUUUGUACUUUGAUGAAUUCCCCCCUUUGAUUUUUGAGUUUCUCAAUUGUAAAAGAGAAAUUCCCUUCUUUAACUGGCCAUUUCUCACCGUUGAUGCUGCUUGAACGAACCACUCUUCUCAUAGUUGUACUAAUCCAUUCACCUAUCGUUGCUGUAAAGAUGAUUUUGAAGUUGAGGCCUCCUGCUCCUCGCUCAAUAAUCUUGAAUCCAUCAUGAUUUCCUAUUUUUUGAAAAGAGAAUUCAAAAGAUUUUGAAUCAAUUUGAGUUAUUGAUUCAGAACUCUCCUCUCUCGCUCUGACACUCUCUCUCAUUUCUCUCUAGCUGGUUUGGUUAUCCAUUUACGCCACACUUAUGAGCCUAAAGGUAACAAUUUUCUUCUCAAAACUGUUAACUUAAUAUUUUCUUAGAACGCAUUCAUUGCAGAAUCUCAAGGGUCAGUGGAUACUUUAAUUAUAUUUCACCAUUAUGUUCACCUUAAUUAAUUGGAUAUUAUUGAUCUUGCAUUGAAGUAAGAUGCUCUAAUUAUUUUUUUCUUCUUGCCCAGGGAAGUUUUCAUACAUGGUCUGCUUUAGCCCUAAUUUCUCUGCAAUUCGUAUAUUUAUGUUUCUUCAAUUCGUAUGCAAGAAGGGAUAAUACGUAUUUCUCUUUUAUCUAUUUAGCUUCAUUGUUUUGAUGGUUUACUUCAUGCUGUUAUUUCUCUUGCUUCUUUGCAGCUACAACAAAGAUUCUCAAGCAAUAACUUUUGGUAUGUUGUGAGAUGAUGUGAAUUUUAUGCAGGGAAACCAUGACUGUGUUCUUGGUGACUACUUAGAUGUGGAUGAUAUGGGAGGAAUAAUACAGAUGGUUUUAUUUGUACUUUCCUAGGAUAACGUGUAGAGGAGGUAGCUUUGUCUGAGCUUUCUGUCGAUGCUGGAGAUGAGAAUGUCGAGAGAAAUAUAUACAUCAAUGGGCGAUGGGUGAUGAAGGUCAUGUAGCUCAUAUCCUCAUAUUCUUUUUAUACAAGUAACCAAUGGGAUUAGCAUCACUGUUUUGGUAGAGAAUUUACCAGUAUAGCAAUGUGGGGUAUAGAGUGAGUGUGUUUUAAUUGCGUCUAAAUCAGUUUUGAUCGUGCUUACUGUUAGCAAGUGUACCAUUUUUUCUUUUUCAUAAUGGUUGGAAUUUUCUACUUCUUUUUUGUCCCAUGUUGUCGUCCUAAUUCCAUAGCUCUCAUGUACUAUUGUAAUGAGGCUUAUUUAAAGUUUUUAAGUUUGUAAAAAUAUUUUUACAAAUUUUAUAUCAUUGAUUUGAAUAAAAAAAACAAGCAACUAAA